UCGAAGGUGGGACAAAUGAUUGGGGUGAAGUCGUAACAAGGUAGCCGUAUCGGAAGGUGCGGCUGGAUCACCUCCUUU
Molecule: ribosomal RNA, 78 nt
Filed under: Staphylococcus aureus
Lineage: Bacteria; Bacillati; Bacillota; Bacilli; Caryophanales; Staphylococcaceae
Also listed under: 6 other names
Description: partial 16S ribosomal RNA
Rfam family: Bacterial small subunit ribosomal RNA
Source: RNAcentral